RNAcentral lists this ribosomal RNA (457 nucleotides) under uncultured bacterium. Its description in RNAcentral is "SSU rRNA". It matches the Rfam family "Bacterial small subunit ribosomal RNA", at positions 26 to 518 of the family's 1533-position model. The record is from RNAcentral.
AGAAUCAACGCUGGCGGCGCGCUUAACACAUGCAAGUCGCACGAGAAAGCAGGAGCAAUCUUGUGAGUACAGUGGCGCACGGGUGAGUAACACGUGGAUCAUCUACCUUCUAGUGGGGAAUACCCCUGGGAAACCGGGGAUAAUACCGCAUAAGCUCGAAAGAGGAAAGUCGAAAGGCGCUGGAAGAGGAGUCCGCGGCUGAUUAGCUAGUUGGUGGGGUAACGCCCACCAAGGCGAAGAUCGGUAGCCGGCCUGAGAGGGCACACGGCCACACUGGCACUGAAACACGGGCCAGACUCCUACGGGAGGCAGCAGUGGGGAAUCUUGCACAAUGGGGGCAACCCUGAUGCAGCGACGCCGCGUGAGCGAUGAGGCCCUUGGGGUGUAAGCUCUUUCGACGGGAACGAUUAUGACGGUACCGAAGAGAAGCUGCGGCUAACUACGUGCCAGCAGCCGC